AUUGAACGCUGGCGGCAGGCCUAACACAUGCAAGUCGAGCGGAUGCAGAGUACUUGCUCGUGGAUUCAGCGGCGGACGGGUGAGUAAUGCCUAGGAAUCUGCCUGUUUGUGGUGGAUAACGUCCGGACGCGGGCGCUAAUACCGCAUACGUCCUGAGGGCGUACGUGGGGGAUCUUCGGACCUCACGCUCUCGGAUGAGCCGAUGUGGGAUUAGCUAGUUGGCGGGGUAAAGGCCUACCAAGCCGACGAUCCGUAGCUGGUCUGAGAGGAUGAUAAGCCACACUGGAAAUGAGACACGGUCCAGACUCCGACGGGAGGCAGCAGUGGGGAAUAUUGGACAAUGGGCGCAAGCCUGAUCCAGCCAUGCCGCGUGGGUGAAGAAGGCCUUCGGGUUGUAAAGCCCUUUUGUUGGGAAAGAAAAGCAGCAGGUUAAUACCCCGCUGUUCUGACGGUACCCAAAGAAUAAGCACCGGCUAACUUCGUG
RNAcentral lists this ribosomal RNA (484 nucleotides) under uncultured bacterium. RNAcentral describes it as "partial 16S ribosomal RNA". It matches the Rfam family "Bacterial small subunit ribosomal RNA", at positions 30 to 507 of the family's 1533-position model. The record is from RNAcentral.